RNAcentral lists this ribosomal RNA (425 nucleotides) under uncultured bacterium. RNAcentral describes it as "bacterial SSU rRNA". It matches the Rfam family "Bacterial small subunit ribosomal RNA", at positions 354 to 796 of the family's 1533-position model. The record is from RNAcentral.
GUGAGGAAUAUUGCACAAUGGGGGAAACCCUGAUGCAGCAACGCCGCGUGGAGGAUGACGCAUUUCGGUGUGUAAACUCCUUUUAUAUGUCAAGAAAAUGACGGUAGCAUAUGAAUAAGCACCGGCUAACUCCGUGCCAGCAGCCGCGGUAAUACGGAGGGUGCAAGCGUUACUCGGAAUCACUGGGCGUAAAGGACGCGUAGGCUGGCUGACAAGUCAGAUGUGAAAUCCUAUGGCUUAACCAUAGAACUGCAUUUGAAACUGUCAGUCUAGAGUAUGGGAGGGGGAGAUGGAAUUAGUGGUGUAGGGGUAAAAUCCGUAGAUAUCACUAGGAAUACCUAAAGCGAAGGCGAUCUCCUGGAACAUUACUGACGCUAAGGCGUGAAAGCGUGGGGAGCAAACAGGAUUAGAUACCCCAGUAGUCC